UGCGCUAUCAGAUGAGCCUAGGUCGGAUUAGCUAGUUGGUGGGGUAAUGGCUCACCAAGGCGACGAUCCGUAACUGGUCUGAGAGGAUGAUCAGUCACACUGGAACUGAGACACGGUCCAGACUCCUACGGGAGGCAGCAGUGGGGAAUAUUGGACAAUGGGCGAAAGCCUGAUCCAGCCAUGCCGCGUGUGUGAAGAGGUCUUCGGAUUGUAAAGCACUUUAAGUUGGGAGGAAGGGCAUAACCUAAUACGUUAGUGUUUUGACGUUACCGACAGAAUAAGCACCGGCUAACUCUGUGCCAGCAGCCGCGGUAAUACAGAGGGUGCAAGCGUUAAUCGGAAUUACUGGGCGUAAAGCGCGCGUAGGUGGUUCGUUAAGUUGGAUAUGAAAGCCCCGGGCUCAACCUGGGAACUGCAUUCAAAACUGUCGAGCUAGAGUAUGGUAGAGGGUGGUGGAAUUUCCUGUGUAGCGGUGAAAUGCGUAGAUAUAGGAAGGAACACCAGUGGCGAAGGCGACCACCUGGACUGAUACUGACACUGAGGUGCGAAAGCGUGGGGAGCAACAGGAUUAGAUACCCUGGUAGUCCACGCCGUAAACGAUGUCAACUAGCCGUUGGGAGCCUUGAGCUCUUAGUGGCGCAGCUAACGCAUUAAGUGACCGCCUGGGGAGACGCCG
Molecule: ribosomal RNA, 676 nt
Filed under: uncultured bacterium
Lineage: Bacteria
Description: bacterial SSU rRNA
Rfam family: Bacterial small subunit ribosomal RNA
Source: RNAcentral